ACGCUGGGUAGUCGUUGCAUUUCCACCUUGCUGCAAUUCCGUAGCCAGUUUACAGUGAAAAUGCACCAACUAUCUGAGAG
Molecule: non-coding RNA, 80 nt
Organism: Mesocestoides corti
Lineage: Eukaryota; Metazoa; Platyhelminthes; Cestoda; Cyclophyllidea; Mesocestoididae
Source: Rfam